This 468-nucleotide ribosomal RNA is filed under the name uncultured bacterium. RNAcentral describes it as "partial 16S ribosomal RNA". It matches the Rfam family "Bacterial small subunit ribosomal RNA", at positions 28 to 507 of the family's 1533-position model. The record is from RNAcentral.
GACGAACGCUGGCGGCGUGCUUAACACAUGCAAGUCGAACGGAAAGGCCCUGCUUUUGUGGGGUGCUCGAGUGGCGAACGGGUGAGUCACACGUGAGUAACCUGCCCUUGACUUUGGGCUAACUUCAAGAAACUGGGGCUAAUACCGGAUAGGAGCUCCUCCUGCAUGGUGGGGGUUGGAAAGUUUCGGCGGUGGGGGAUGGACUCGCGGCUUAUCAGCUUGUUGGUGGGGUAGUGGCUUACCAGGGCUUUGACGGGUAGCCGGCCUGAGAGGGUGACCGGCAACAUUGGGCCUGAGGAACGGCGCCGACUCCUACGGGAGGCAGCAGUGGGGAAUAUUGCACAAUGGGCGGAGGCAGGAUGCCGCAACGCCGCGUGCGGGAUGACGGCCUUCGGGUGGUAACCAGCUUUCGCCUGUGACGAAGCGUGAGUGACGGUAAUGGGUAAAGAAGCACCGGCUAACUACGUG